CGCUGAAGAGAGGAGCUUGCUCUUCUUGGAUGAGUUGCGAACGGGUGAGUAACGCGUAGGUAACCUGCCUUGUAGCGGGGGAUAACUAUUGGAAACGAUAGCUAAUACCGCAUAACAAUGGAUGACACAUGUCAUUUAUUUGAAAGGGGCAAUUGCUCCACUACAAGAUGGACCUGCGUUGUAUUAGCUAGUAGGUGAGGUAACGGCUCACCUAGGCGACGAUACAUAGCCGACCUGAGAGGGUGAUCGGCCACACUGGGACUGAGACACGGCCCAGACUCCUACGGGAGGCAGCAGUAGGGAAUCUUCGGCAAUGGGGGCAACCCUGACCGAGCAACGCCGCGUGAGUGAAGAAGGUUUUCGGAUCGUAAAGCUCUGUUGUAAGUCAAGAACGAGUGUGAGAGUGGAAAGUUCACACUGUGACGGUAGCUUACCAGAAAGGGACGGCUAACUACGUGCCAGCAGCCGCGGUAAUACGUAGGUCCCGAGCGUUGUCCGGAUUUAUUGGGCGUAAAGCGAGCGCAGGCGGUUUGAUAAGUCUGAAGUUAAAGGCUGUGGCUCAACCAUAGUUCGCUUUGGAAACUGUCAAACUUGAGUGCAGAAGGGGAGAGUGGAAUUCCAUGUGUAGCGGUGAAAUGCGUAGAUAUAUGGAGGAACACCGGUGGCGAAAGCGGCUCUCUGGUCUGUAACUGACGCUGAGGCUCGAAAGCGUGGGGAGCGAACAGGAUUAGAUACCCUGGUAGUCCACGCCGUAAACGAUGAGUGCUAGGUGUUGGAUCCUUUCCGGGAUUCAGUGCCGCAGCUAACGCAUUAAGCACUCCGCCUGGGGAGUACGACCGCAAGGUUGAAACUCAAAGGAAUUGACGGGGGCCCGCACAAGCGGUGGAGCAUGUGGUUUAAUUCGAAGCAACGCGAAGAACCUUACCAGGUCUUGACAUCCCGAUGCUAUUUCUAGAGAUAGAAAGUUACUUCGGUACAUCGGUGACAGGUGGUGCAUGGUUGUCGUCAGCUCGUGUCGUGAGAUGUUGGGUUAAGUCCCGCAACGAGCGCAACCCCUAUUGUUAGUUGCCAUCAUUCAGUUGGGCACUCUAGCGAGACUGCCGGUAAUAAACCGGAGGAAGGUGGGGAUGACGUCAAAUCAUCAUGCCCCUUAUGACCUGGGCUACACACGUGCUACAAUGGUUGGUACAACGAGUUGCGAGUCGGUGACGGCAAGCUAAUCUCUUAAAGCCAAUCUCAGUUCGGAUUGUAGGCUGCAACUCGCCUACAUGAAGUCGGAAUCGCUAGUAAUCGCGGAUCAGCACGCCGCGGUGAAUACGUUCCCGGGCCUUGUACACACCGCCCGUCACACCACGAGAGUUUGUAACACCCGAAGUCGGUGAGGUAACCUUUGGAGCCAGC
This 1401-nucleotide ribosomal RNA is filed under the name Streptococcus sp. 2010_Ileo_MS_Ia. RNAcentral's name for it is "bacterial SSU rRNA". It matches the Rfam family "Bacterial small subunit ribosomal RNA". Lineage: Bacteria; Bacillati; Bacillota; Bacilli; Lactobacillales; Streptococcaceae. The record is from RNAcentral. RNAcentral also lists the same sequence under 2 other names.